UACAGAGGGUGCGAGCGUUGUCCGGAAUCACUGGGCGUAAAGGGCGCGUAGGCGGUCCGGUAAGCGUGUGGUGAAAGCCCGGGGCUCAACCCCGGGUCGGCCGUGCGAACUGCUGUGACUCGAGCACUGUAGAGGCAGGCGGAAUUCCGGGUGUAGCGGUGGAAUGCGUAGAGAUCCGGAAGAACACCGGUGGCGAAGGCGGCCUGCUGGGCAGUGACUGACGCUGAGGCGCGACAGCGUGGGGAGCAAACAGGAUUAGAAACCCCCGUAGUCC
RNAcentral lists this ribosomal RNA (274 nucleotides) under uncultured bacterium. RNAcentral's name for it is "partial 16S ribosomal RNA". It matches the Rfam family "Bacterial small subunit ribosomal RNA", at positions 524 to 796 of the family's 1533-position model. The record is from RNAcentral.